CCUACGGGAGGCAGCAGUAGGGAAUUUUCGUCAAUGGGGGAAACCCUGAACGAGCAAUGCCGCGUGAGUGAAGAAGGUCUUCGGAUCGUAAAGCUCUGUUGUAAGAGAAAAACGGCCUUCAUAGGGAAUGAUGGAGGAGUGAUGGUAUCUUACCAGAAAGCCACGGCUAACUACGUGCCAGCAGCCGCGGUAAUACGUAGGUGGCGAGCGUUAUCCGGAAUGAUUGGGCGUAAAGGGUGCGUAGGUGGCACGAUAAGUCUGGAGUAAAAGGGAGCGGCUCAACCGCUGUUGGCUCUGGAAACUGUCGAGCUAGAGAGCAGGAGAGGGCGACGGAAUUCCAUGUGUAGCGGUAAAAUGCGUAGAUAUAUGGAGGAACACCGGUGGCGAAGGCGGUCGCCUGGCCUGCAACUGACACUGAAGCACGAAAGCGUGGGGAGCAAAUAGGAUUAGAUACCCUAGUAGUCC
Molecule: ribosomal RNA, 465 nt
Filed under: Merdibacter massiliensis
Lineage: Bacteria; Bacillati; Bacillota; Erysipelotrichia; Erysipelotrichales; Erysipelotrichaceae
Description: bacterial SSU rRNA
Rfam family: Bacterial small subunit ribosomal RNA
Source: RNAcentral